RNAcentral lists this long non-coding RNA (630 nucleotides) under Chinchilla lanigera (long-tailed chinchilla). RNAcentral's name for it is "lncRNA (ENSCLAG00000023193.1)". The record is from RNAcentral. Lineage: Eukaryota; Metazoa; Chordata; Mammalia; Rodentia; Chinchillidae.
GGACUGUCCUCGUCACACAUGAGGAGACAGAGGUGAAGUUACUCAGGCAGCAUCCCGCAACUGUGCUGUGGACAUCAGGACCUCUGCACUUUCAAAGGCAGCUUGUACCACUGUAUGAGCGGUAGGAUUUCGGUUUUAUACUCUGUGUCCCAGAGUGGGGACUGGUGAUAUAAACUGGUUCACACACGGAGUCAGAGGACGUUCAACAGCACAGCCCUUUCAAAUCGAGGCAAUGAGCCCUGAUACCCAGCAUGGAAAGAGCUUACGGCAUGGAACAUGAUUAAAUGUGGAGAUAAAAGAAAAGUACACAGCUACAAUUACCUUGGAAACAGGUCCGCGGAAGACAAUCUCAGUUUUGCCCCUCUGUCUGGCCAGUUAUGCAGUCUGGCUCCAUACAGGCCCUGCCAGCCUUGGGCGAAGCCAGCCACUCCUGCCACAGCCAUCCUCUGUGCUGCUGGCUGCUCUGAGGCAACAUGUGUGAAGCAGCGUUCUGAGGAGAAGAUACUCGCUAAGUACACGUUACUUUCUUUACUAUCUUUGAUCUUCACAGUGAACCAAUGAGAUCAUUGCGUCCCCUCUCCCUUCACAGAUGACUGUGAGGCUCAGAGACAGCCCUGGCUUGUUCCUGUC